This is a long non-coding RNA of Hypanus sabinus (Atlantic stingray), 782 nucleotides long. RefSeq lists it as uncharacterized. The record is from RefSeq and is a predicted model, not a curated record. Lineage: Eukaryota; Metazoa; Chordata; Chondrichthyes; Myliobatiformes; Dasyatidae. The transcript is spliced from 2 exons.
CAACCACCUGGGAGGAAUGAAGACGACGCGCCAACCGGCCGCAACUUAUCCAGAUGGGCGCGUGACGUCAUCUGCCCCCAGCUGAUGAAUCCAACGGAACUGCAGGGACCGAUACGGCGCAGGAGUUCGGGUAUAUCGCAAUACUCACGUGCUGAACCCCGCAGUCUGCAUGAAGACAUCAGUCACAGUUCGACUUCCCUCGAACGAACUGGCUAACACAGGACUAUUGGUACUUACUCCUUGGAGCCAUUCAUUUGGACAAAAACUUGCACAAUGGCGUCUCUCCUUCAAAUGGCAUUGGGCGAUUAUCUUCCCUUCUGCCCCACUUCACAGCUCCUGCUAAAAGACACAAACCAGAUUACUGUCCUUCAGAAAUCUCAUCCCACACAGCUCUCUACUGGGCAGAAAGUUACCACACGUACCCAGACAGAUCUGAUUGGUUGGCACAACGUUCUUAAGUUGGGCAACAUGGCUUCUUGUCUUUAGUGGAAGCCAAAACAUUCAUUCUAACAGGACACAGAAAACUGCUAAAAUAAAAAUUCCUCACAGCAAAGUAGUAGAAAUUGCACGGCAAAUGAAAUUAGUUUAAAAGGUAAUUAUUAUUACAGGAAACACAACAAAGGCCAGAAACUGUAAUGUGACUGUGACCAAGUAAUCUGUUUAGCGAGGUUGGAUCUUUGACUGUUAGACUCUCCUCCCUCCCUUUCAUCCUGAACUCAGUGCCCACCAGGGCUGUGUGCUCUGCUCGCACAUGAUUGCACUGUCAAGCACCUAAGUAAUCA